RNAcentral lists this ribosomal RNA (498 nucleotides) under uncultured Helotiales. Its description in RNAcentral is "eukaryotic LSU rRNA". The stretch from base 155 to 308 matches the Rfam family "5.8S ribosomal RNA". The record is from RNAcentral. Lineage: Eukaryota; Fungi; Ascomycota; Leotiomycetes; Helotiales.
UGGAAACAGCGGUUAGGAGCUUACACCCACCCGUGUUUACAUACUAUUGUUGCUUUGGCGGGCCGUGGCCUCCACUGCGGGCUCUGCUCGUGUGUGCCCGCCAGAGGACCAAACUCUGAAUGUUAGUGAUGUCUGAGUACUAUCUAAUAGUUAAAACUUUCAACAACGGAUCUCUUGGUUCUGGCAUCGAUGAAGAACGCAGCGAAAUGCGAUAAGUAAUGUGAAUUGCAGAAUUCAGUGAAUCAUCGAAUCUUUGAACGCACAUUGCGCCCUGUGGUAUUCCGCAGGGCAUGCCUGUUCGAGCGUCAUUUAACCACUCACGCCUAGCGUGGUAUUGGGGCACGCGGUCUCCGCGGCCCUCAAAAUUAGUGGCGGUGCCGGUGGGCUCUAAGCGUAGUACAUACUCCCGCUAUAGAGUUCCCCCCGGUGGCUCGCCAGAACCCCCAAUUUUUACAGGUUGACCUCGGAUCAGGUAAGGAUACCCGCUGAACUUAAGCA